This 486-nucleotide ribosomal RNA is filed under the name uncultured bacterium. Its description in RNAcentral is "bacterial SSU rRNA". It matches the Rfam family "Bacterial small subunit ribosomal RNA", at positions 28 to 524 of the family's 1533-position model. The record is from RNAcentral.
GACGAACGCUGGCGGCGUGCUUAACACAUGCAAGUCACGGGGGCUCGCAAGAGCAACCGGCGAACGGGUGCGUAACACGUGAGCAACCUGCCGAUCUGAGGGGGAUAGCCGGCCCAACGGCCGGGUAAUACCGCAUACGUUCUCGAGGGGGAGUCCUCUUGGGAAGAAACCUCCGGGGCAGAUCGAGGGGCUCGCGGCCUAUCAGCUAGUUGGCGGUGUAAUGGACCACCAAGGCAUGACGGGUAGCUGGUCUGAGAGGAUGGCCAGCCACAUUGGGACUGAGAGACGGCCCAGACUCCUACGGGAGGCAGCAGUGGGGAAUCUUGCGCAAUGGCCGAAAGGCUGACGCAGCGACGCCGCGUGUGGGAUGAAGCAUUUCGGUGUGUAAACCACUGUUGCCCGGGACGAACAUCCUCUUUCGAGAGGACUGACGGUACCGGGUGAGGAAGCACCGGCUAACUCCGUGCCAGCAGCCGCCGCCGUAAU